RNAcentral lists this ribosomal RNA (253 nucleotides) under uncultured bacterium. RNAcentral describes it as "partial 16S ribosomal RNA". It matches the Rfam family "Bacterial small subunit ribosomal RNA", at positions 524 to 776 of the family's 1533-position model. The record is from RNAcentral.
UACGGGGGGUGCGAGCGUUUUCCGGAAUCACUGGGCGUAAAGGGCUCGUAGGCGGUUUGUCACGUCGGGAGUGAAAACUCGGGGCUCAACCCCGAGCCUGCUUCCGAUACGGGCAGACUAGAGGUAUGCAGGGGAGAAUGGAAUUCCUGGUGUAGCGGUGAAAUGCGCAGAUAUCAGGAGGAACACCGGUGGCGAAGGCGGUUCUCUGGGCAUUACCUGACGCUGAGGAGCGAAAGUGUGGGGAGCGAACAGG